AUUGAACGCUAGCGGGAUGCUUUACACAUGCAAGUCGAACGCGUGGCGGACGGGUGAGUAAUAUAUCGGAACGUGCCCAGUCGCCGGGGAUAACUACUCGAAAGAGUGGCUAAUACUGCAUACUACUGGCUCGGCCGUUAUCGGUUUAUCUAGUUGGUGGGGUAAAGGCUCACCAAGGCAACGAUCCGUAGCGGGUGUGAGAGGACGACCAGCCACACUGGGACUGAGACACGGCCCAGACUCCUACGGGAGGCAGCAGUGGGGAAUUUUGGACAAUGGGGGAAACGCUGAUCCAGCAAUCCCGCGUGUAUGAGAAGGCCUUCGGGUUGUAAAGUACUUUUGGCAGAGAAGCGGUAUCUGAAGAGUAAGCACCGGCUAACUACGUGCCAGCAGCCGCGGUAAUAC
Molecule: ribosomal RNA, 405 nt
Filed under: uncultured bacterium
Lineage: Bacteria
Description: partial 16S ribosomal RNA
Rfam family: Bacterial small subunit ribosomal RNA
Source: RNAcentral